RNAcentral lists this long non-coding RNA (2669 nucleotides) under Marmota monax (woodchuck). Lineage: Eukaryota; Metazoa; Chordata; Mammalia; Rodentia; Sciuridae. The record is from RNAcentral.
CCUGGGUGGUCCCUCCAGCCCAAGAUGCUGGGGAAGCAAGAGGGGUCUGGGGCGGCUGUUAGAGAUAAAGCCGACUCAUAAAAGGUGCAGGGGCUUCCUGCUUGACAAACACAGUGUGCUAACUAAUCAGUGUACUCUGCACUCAGCAGGAAGCCCGUGAUGGAUUGAGGAGAUGCUCAGAGGUCAAGGUUCAGGGACAACACUAAUACUCCCUUGGAGCAGUUGGGGUAAGGGCAGAGGAAGGAGUCCUAGGCUGGUUGGCCUCAGAGGCUUUCUUAUCUCUUGAAAAUCUGGAAGCCAGGCAAAGGGUGCAAUGAGGGUCAGCUGGUAUCAGGGGCAUGAUGCCACCCCUGGGGGGGGGGAGAAAAGGUUAUGGGGGGUCAACGACUGCAGGUAGAAGCCUUGUCUACAGAGCUGCCUUUGGGGUGAUCUUGGAUACUAUGAAUUAUAUUUGAGACCCUCCAUGGUCUUUCAGAUUAGUUCCAUAUAGCCAGCUGGUCUCUGGCGGGUCCAAGUGAUGGGCAGAUCAGUGUCUAACACUCGAAUGGGCUGGAGAGUAUGCAUGUGAGCAGGUGUGUGUGUGUGCAUGUGUUAGUGUGUGUUGUGCAGGUGUAUACAGGUGUGCGCACGCAGGUGUGUGUAGAUGUGUGUGCAGGUGUGUGUGCGCAGGUGUGUGUGUGCAGGUGUGUGUACAGGUGUAUACAAGUGUGUGUGUGUGUGCUCAGGUGUGUGUGCAGGUGUGUGUGCAUGUGUUGGUGUGUGUGUGCGCAGGUGUGUGCGCAGGUGUGUGUGUGCGUUCGUGUAUGGGGGAUACCUUAAAAUCCCAGUGAUGCUGCUUCUGCAGUGUCCCCUGGACCCCUUCCUAGCUGGUGCUAAUAUGGGCGGCUGAUCAAGGCUUUUCCUCUGGUGGCAGCUACUCUGAGAAGUAGCAGCGCGCUCUCUCCAGGCAAUCAAGACACAUUGUGUUGGGCACUGGGCGCUGGUCUUGGAACAUUCUUGGUUGUAGGCAAGCAGGGGAGGGCAGGCCUCCUGUUGAAGUGUGAGAUUUAUUGGACCCCCCGCUGCGUGACUGAGAGGCUCUAACUCUUCCAGGGAAGCCCCCUGUGGUCGGGGCUCAGCACUUAUUAUCCAUAAUGAAGUGCUUGUAUCUGAUGCCCCACACCAUGCGGCUUCCUGGUUCCACUGCCAUCCGCGGCGCCCACUUGGUGCCUGGCCUGAAGUCAGUGCGGAGAAAUGUUUGUCCUGGAGGGCCUGAGCUGCCUCAGGGCUGGGGACAGAGUGGGUGUUCUUUUCAGCGUCCCCUCCAGAGCAUCGGGUGGCCCAUUUUUAGGUCUCAAGGUCAUUGCCAAGAAAGAGAAGCUGUUAAAUUGACACUUUUCUGCACCCACAUGACUCAACAAAAAGGUUAACAGAAGCUCUUAAAAUACAAUCCUCUCAAAUGUCUGUUCUCUGUGUCCUCUGAGGAAGUGACAGACAGUGGCAUCAGAUAGGGGUUGGGGCUGUGUGACCUGCUGGUCCUUGGGUAUCACUGUGCCCCAGAGGUCAUUUAAGCGCUCUGUUCUCAGCAGACAGGACGGAGGAGGAGUAUACAGAAGGUACUGGUAAACACUGCACACAGGGGACCUGAGAGCUGGGGACAUUGAAAGGGACACUGUAAGACUAACCACAGUGGGUCCAUGAAGAGAAAGGCAGAGUCAGGUGAGAGAACUAGCCUGGUGCCUCGGCAGACACCUGAGCUCAGGUAUCAACUAGAGGAAGCAGGUGACGCCCAGAGGGUGCUGAAAGCCGGGGUGCCCGUGGAAAGAGCUGGGUAGUGGAGGCGCAUCCCCUUGGCUCGGGCUGGGGGAGCCGGGUCUUCCCGGCCACAGGCUCAGCUCCCCACCGUGUGGAUGCAGUUCUGAUGGCUGAGACAGCAUGGCGGGUGUUAGGAGCUGGCUGGGCACUCCCGGCCCACAGGUUACUGUGCCUCUUGGCCUAUGUUGUGUCGUCUGUACCAGGGAAGUCCUCUCUCCUCCCAAACUACCUGGGAGACUUAGAUAAGAAAGCAUAUGUGAAGUGCUUAGAGCAGCUCAUGGCACACGGGAAAACUGAACAUGCUCUCCAUAGUGGGGACAGUGAUCAUUUGACUUCCUGCAAGCAUCAUCUAGUCAGCUGAACACAGGGUUGGCAAAUCUGGCUCACUGCCUAUUUUUAUAAAUAAAGUUUUAUUGGAACAUAGCCAUGCUUAUUCAUUUACCCAUCAUCCUCCAUGGCAGAGCUGAGCAGAGGCAACAGAGACCCUACGGUGACAAAGCAAAAUGGCCUCUUAUUAGAAAACGGGCUUUUGUUAUUUGUCCCUUUAUAGAAAAAGUGCCAUCCCCAUCUUCACAGAUGACUAGAAAACCAGCAGUUUCAUAGAAUUUGCUGAAAAAGACGAUACAUUGGAGCAGUUAAGGGGAAGAAGUCUGGAUGCUGAUCCCUGCUCUGUGACCUUAGGCAAGUUACCUACCUACUCUGGACUUGUCAUUCCAUAGGCAAAACUGCAGUGAUACAUGUAGUAUUAAGUGGGAUCCUGUCAGCACAGGGUCUGAUGCUGGCAAAAGCAAUAUAAAAAGUAGCUACUAUUGUUAGUUAUUAAGUGUCAACUGCCAGAAGGCACAGAGAAACUCCCAGAAGAGGGUCAUCGCUGC